This 885-nucleotide small RNA is filed under the name Pan troglodytes (chimpanzee). RNAcentral's name for it is "retained intron". The record is from RNAcentral. Lineage: Eukaryota; Metazoa; Chordata; Mammalia; Primates; Hominidae.
GUGUGAUGCUGCCAUUUCCCCCAAUUUGCUUGGUUAUGAGUGACGUGGGAUUUUUAAUCAUUAGCAUCUUGGCUUUGCUGGGUGUUUUUGGCAGGCUGACCCUCCAGCCAGCCCUGCACUGUGCUGUGUGCAUCAGGAAACCGGCUCAUUCUGCAGGUGUUUCAUCCAUAAACAAGCAUCAGCCACAGGCUCCUCUUUCGUUUGACGGAAACCCUUUGGAAUUUAACUUUCAGAUACAAAUACUUGGAACAGUUGGCAGCUGAGGAGCACGAGAAGGAGCUGAGAAGCCGGAGUGUGAGCCGGGGCAGAGCCGACCUCUCCUUGGACCUGACCUCGCCAGCAGCCCCAGCCUACCUGGCUCCUCUGAGCCAUAGCCCCUCGUCUUCAGACUCUCAAGAGGCUCUCACGGUGUCUGCCUCCUCCCCAGGAACCCCUCACCAUCCCCAAGCAAGUGCCGGGGAUCCUGAACCCGAAUCAGAGGCAGAACCGGAAGCAGAGGCAGGGGCGGGGCAGGUUGCUGAUGAAGCUGGCCAGGACAUAGCCUCUGCCCACGAGGGUGCAGAGACUGAAGUGGAGCGGGCACUAGAGCAAGAGCCGGAAGAAAGAGCCUCCCUCAGUGAAAAAGAGAGGCAGAACGAGGGGGUGAACGAGAGGGACAACUGCUCCGCCUCCAGCGUCUCGUCCUCCAGCAGCACGUUGGAGAGGGAGGAGAAGGAGGACAAGCUUUCCAGGGACAGGACAACUGGUUUGUGGCCCGCAGGUGUCCAGGAUGCAGGUGUAAAUGGACAGUGUGGCGACAUCCUCACCAACAAACGGUUCAUGCUUGACAUGCUGUAUGCCCAUAACAGGAAGUCUCCGGAUGAUGAGGAGAAGGGGGAUGGGGAG